Molecule: ribosomal RNA, 301 nt
Filed under: uncultured bacterium
Lineage: Bacteria
Description: partial 16S ribosomal RNA
Rfam family: Bacterial small subunit ribosomal RNA
Source: RNAcentral
CAGCAGCCGCGGUAACACGUAGGUGGCAAGCGUUGUCCGGAAUUAUUGGGCGUAAAGGGCUCGCAGGCGGUUUCUUAAGUCUGACGUGAAAGCCCCCGGCUCAACCGGGGAGGGUCAUUGGAAACUGGGAAACUUGAGUGCAGAAGAGGAGAGUGGAAUUCCACGUGUAGCGGUGAAAUGCGUAGAGAUGUGGAGGAACACCAGUGGCGAAGGCGACUCUCUGGUCUGUAACUGACGCUGAGGAGCGAAAGCGUGGGGAGCGAACAGGAUUAGAGACCCCCGUAGUCCCUGUCUCUUAUAC